GAUGAACGCUGGCGGCGUGCUUAACACAUGCAAGUCGAACGAUGAAGCCCAACUUGCUGGGUGUAUUCGUGGCGCACGGGUGAGUGACACGUGAGUAACCUGCCCUCUACUCUUGGGUAAGCGUGGCAGAAUGGGUCUAUUACCGCAUAGAAGAGUCCACCUCAGGGUGGGUGUUGGAAAGAUUUAUCGGUUUUGGAUGGGCUCGCGGCCUAUCAGCUUGUUGGUGGGGUAAUGGCUCACCAAGGCGACGACGGGUAGCCGGCCUGAGAGGGUGAACGGCAAACCUGGGACGGAGACACGGCCAGGAUGCCUAGGGGGGGAGGAGGGGGGGAAUAUUGCCCAAGGGGGGAAGCCCGGAUGAAGGAAGGCGGCGGGAGGGAGAACGCCUUUGGGGUGUAAAACCAUUUUCAGUAGGGAAAAGGGUAAUUGUGCGGGUACUUGAAGAGGAAGCCCCGGCUACCUACGUG
RNAcentral lists this ribosomal RNA (467 nucleotides) under uncultured bacterium. Its description in RNAcentral is "partial 16S ribosomal RNA". It matches the Rfam family "Bacterial small subunit ribosomal RNA", at positions 28 to 507 of the family's 1533-position model. The record is from RNAcentral.